This 565-nucleotide ribosomal RNA is filed under the name uncultured Glomus. RNAcentral describes it as "SSU rRNA". It matches the Rfam family "Eukaryotic small subunit ribosomal RNA", at positions 546 to 1106 of the family's 1831-position model. The record is from RNAcentral. Lineage: Eukaryota; Fungi; Glomeromycota; Glomeromycetes; Glomerales; Glomeraceae.
AAUUGGAGGGCAAGUCUGGUGCCAGCAGCCGCGGUAAUUCCAGCUCCAAUAGCGUAUAUUAAAGUUGUUGCAGUUAAAAAGCUCGUAGUUGAAUUUCGAGAUUGACGUGAUGGUCGUGCCUUAAGGGGUAUGAACUGUCGCAGUUGAUUUCUCACCUUCUGGAGAAGCAUGAUGUCCUUAAUUGGGUGUCAUGUGGAACCAGGACCUUUACCUUGAAAAAAUUAGAGUGUUUAAAGCAGGCAUUUUGCUCGAAUACAUUAGCAUGGAAUAAUAGAAUAGGACGGCAUGGUUCUAUUUUGUUGGUUUCUAGGAUCACCGUAAUGAUUAAUAGGGAUAGUUGGGGGCAUUAGUAUUCAAUUGUCAGAGGUGAAAUUCUUGGAUUUAUUGAAGACUAACUACUGCGAAAGCAUUUGCCAAGGAUGUUUUCAUUAAUCAAGAACGAAAGUUAGGGGAUCGAAGACGAUCAGAUACCGUCGUAGUCUUAACCAUAAACUAUGCCGACUAGGAAUCAGACGAUGUUAAUUUUUUAAUGACUCGUUUGGCACCUUACGGGAAACCAAAGUGU